CGGAGGAUAGCGCAGUUUUGCAGUCAGAGGUGUUUUACCUUCACGUAGAGUAGAAUAACGUCUUUUGCAUUGCAGGGAUGCAGCGGUGAAUCUGUAAAAGCAGUGAGAUACUUUGUUGUAAAGCAACAGACUAGAUUCUUUCUUCCCGUAUGUGGCAGUAGCCAUUAAGUUUUAGGGGCCCAAAAUACGCACGGGUGUGUGGUGUUAGUCCAUGGAGAAUCAUUUCCUAUUCCAGCUGUGUUUACUUGAUAGUCAUUGACCAUAAGUGUUAAUCACUCUCAGGGCAACUUUGUAAAUAUUAUAAUUAGAGGAAGUAAUUUAAUCAUUAUCUUCACUUACACAGCUGUUGUAUCAAUGAUUUGAAUAAGUGUAUGAAAUAAACACACUGCCUUUAACCUCCCCAGACAGCAAUCUGAGCCUGAGCACCCUAAAGAGAAGUAUAAAGGCCUUCUGUGGAAAAGACCAAAGCCACAAGCACAACCAUGUACCACAAGAAGAGAGCCAGAAAAAUCAACAGUAGUUGCUUCAGGGAUGAGGAAGAUACAGACUGAACCUGCUGGGGUGGCUGUUGCAUGCUGACCUAUUCUCUUGCUACCAGCCAGUCAGGGUUGGUUGGUGUAUCGACUUGGUGGCUGCUGCGCUGUAAGUCUUCUCAUCUUUUUUCCCCAUAUAAACGUCUUCAGAUGCAGUUUGACAGCAGGUUACACUGUGAAGAUUUUUCCACUCUCUAGUUCUACACCAUCAAGACAUGCUUAAAUUAUCCUACAGGAUGCACCUUCAGAGAAGCCCGUGUUACUUACACAUCCCUGGUUUUGACUGACAAUUUCUACGCUGUUACUAGAUAGGCCACUUCUCUGGAGAGUCCCCCUUUCCCAUCUGACAGAAAUGCAGGCAGACAGCUUCAGUUCUGUGCUACCUAAAAAACCUGAGGUGAUAACUCCCUACAAAGCGUGACAAGGAGUCACUGCAUGCUCUGGUUUGCCUUAGGGCUGGUUUGCUUUAUAGAGCUGGACCAGUUUCUUCUGAGUCAGAUUCUGUUAUAUGCAAGGUACUGUGGUGCCUUUAAUUCAGUUUAAGAGUGGAUGAGAUGGGUUCCUUCCCCCUUCACAGUUAUUACCUUGUUAUUACUGUUUGUUAAUGUGUACCCUGGUAGCAGCAAACAGCUACAAGCAUGCCCCAGGGCCUGGUGCGGUAAGUGUCCAUGGUGUGUUUUUCUCUCUUGAUUGUUCAGGAGUCAUCAUUGCAUUAUAAACUUAUCUCUACAGCUUCUCAAGAUUCAUUCUUGCCCGUGGGAAAGCUUCAUGUGUGAAAAGUGUUAGGCCUGGCUUUCUGUGGGAGAGGCUGGACCGUUACACCCCUGAGCUGAAAGAUGACUGCUUCUUUUUCUGCAGUGGUACUGAUACGAGGUGGCAGGCAGCAAUAGAUCAGAGCUGUGUUGGACCCCAGUUUAAAGCUGGCCCUGGGUAAGGCUCUGCAGUAGUCUGUAAGUUUCCCUUGGAAGGCAAAACUUCAUUACAGAAAAUAUGAUGGUGAAUAAGUGAGUCUCAUGAACAACAGGAAAUAAUCUCUGCAGUUGUGGCAGCUAGUUCUAGUUUGUGGAAAAUACACAGUAUUUGUGUGAGCUUUUGAGUACUGGUUUUAUUUCCAUGAUUCUUUUUGGCUGAUAUAACACUUUGACAUUGAAUUUUAAACCAUUUCACCUCCCAGGAAGCAAACAUCAUCACCACAGGACCUUCUCUGGUGCUGUUUGCAUUUCCCAUUGCACUGGUAUCACUCAGCUAUGAAAAACCAAAAUCACUGUUUUAACAAGGCAAUGGUUGUUAGAAAAGAGCGGUUUCCCAAGGGAUAAUAGGUGGUAAGUUGCUCUAUUGGUAGAAUGCAGCAAGUUGCAGUGAUACCUAUCUAACACACGUGUAGGCUUUGGAC
Molecule: long non-coding RNA, 1926 nt
Organism: Neopsephotus bourkii (Bourke's parrot)
Lineage: Eukaryota; Metazoa; Chordata; Aves; Psittaciformes; Psittacidae
Exons: 2
Source: RefSeq, a predicted model, not a curated record